Molecule: ribosomal RNA, 506 nt
Filed under: uncultured bacterium
Lineage: Bacteria
Description: partial 16S ribosomal RNA
Rfam family: Bacterial small subunit ribosomal RNA
Source: RNAcentral
AGUGAACGCUGGCGGUAGGCCUAACACAUGCAAGUCGAACGGCAGCACAGGAGAGCUUGCUCUCUGGGUGGCGAGUGGCGGACGGGUGAGGAAUACAUCGGAAUCUACUCUGUCGUGGGGGAUAACGUAGGGAAACUUACGCUAAUACCGCAUACGACCUACGGGUGAAAGCAGGGGAUCGUCGGACCUUGCGCGAUUGAAUGAGCCGAUGUCGGAUUAGCUAGUUGGCGGGGUAAAGGCCCACCAAGGCGACGAUCCGUAGCUGGUCUGAGAGGAUGAUCAGCCACACUGGAACUGAGACACGGUCCAGACUCCUACGGGAGGCAGCAGUGGGGAAUAUUGGACAAUGGGCGCAAGCCUGAUCCAGCCAUACCGCGUGGGUGAAGAAGGCCUUCGGGUUGUAAAGCCCUUUCGUUGGGAAAGAAAUCCAGCUGGUUAAUACCCGGUUGGGAUGACGGUACCCAAAGAAUAAGCACCGACUAACUUCGUGCCAGCAGCCGCCGUAA